AUUGAACGCUGGCGGCAGGCCUAACACAUGCAAGUCGAGCGAGCGGCGGACGGGUGAGUAAUGUCUGGGAAACUGCCUGCUGGAGGGGGAUAACUACUGGAAACGGUAGCUAAUACCGCAUACCAUCAGAUGUGCCCAGAUGGGAUUAGCGAGUAGGUGGGGUAACGGCUCACCUGGGCGACGAUCCCUAGCUGGUCUGAGAGGAUGACCAGCCACACUGGAACUGAGACACGGUCCAGACUCCUACGGGAGGCAGCAGUGGGGAAUAUUGGACAAUGGGCGAAAGCCUGAUGCAGCCAUGCCGCGUGUGUGAAGAAGGCCUUCGGGUUGUAAAGCACUUUCAGCGGGGAGGCGGUAUCUGCAGAAGAAGCACCGGCUAACUCCGUGCCAGCAGCCGCGGUAAUAC
Molecule: ribosomal RNA, 406 nt
Filed under: uncultured bacterium
Lineage: Bacteria
Description: partial 16S ribosomal RNA
Rfam family: Bacterial small subunit ribosomal RNA
Source: RNAcentral